AAGGUUAGCCUUUCCCCCAGUUCGGACUUCAUAAUUCCAACAACAGCAUCUGGCUGCUCCUCCGAAAAUAAACUAUAAUCGCCCGGACAACCCACCGAUACCUACUCUCGAGAUAAUCCUCCAGGUACAACAUCUUCCGGCAGUGCUAGGGAACGUUUCCGAACACGAUUCAGACAAACCAUGCGUCGUCGCGAGAUCCAGAGCUUCACGCUCAAGCUGAGCGACCUCAAGGAGUACGAUGUGGCCAAACAGCAACGGCUGGCACGGACCAAGGAUUCCACUGGCUCGGCAACAGCAACCACAACGACGACAGAUGGCCUAGACCCGAUGAAAACUCCCGAAGUGACGAUGUCCGCUCUGCCCAAGUUGGCGGAACCCAAAACGAAGCAGGAAAUUCGCGCGCGCAUUGGGUUUCCAACGGAUUUGGCGUAGAUGUAAGGUUCAGGUUUUUAGGUUGUAUUACAUUUGCACAAUACCCUCUGUUGAUAGAUGUUGCUAUCUUCAAUGGAGGCGGAAUAUCACUUACGAACCAAUAUUGCUAUAUUCAAUAGAGAUGAAACAAAGAUCUCAUAGCUGUAUAAUUUUGUUUGCACAGAAUAGAGAUUAUGUUGAAUUUCGUGUA
Molecule: long non-coding RNA, 622 nt
Organism: Aedes aegypti (yellow fever mosquito)
Lineage: Eukaryota; Metazoa; Arthropoda; Insecta; Diptera; Culicidae
Exons: 2
Source: RefSeq, a predicted model, not a curated record